UACGGAGGGGGCUAGCGUUGUUCGGAAUUACUGGGCGUAAAGCGCGUGUAGGCGGGUCUUUAAGUCGAGGGGUGAAAUCCUGGAGCUCAACUCCAGAACUGCCUUUGAUACUGGACGAUCUUGAGUUCGGGAGAGGUGAGUGGAACUGCGAGUGUAGAGGUGAAAUUCGUAGAUAUUCGCAAGAACACCAGUGGCGAAGGCGGCUCACUGGCCCGAUACUGACGCUGAGGUGCGAAAGCGUGGGGAGCAAACAGG
Molecule: ribosomal RNA, 255 nt
Filed under: uncultured bacterium
Lineage: Bacteria
Description: partial 16S ribosomal RNA
Rfam family: Bacterial small subunit ribosomal RNA
Source: RNAcentral